This 2897-nucleotide long non-coding RNA is filed under the name Volvox carteri. RNAcentral's name for it is "long non-coding RNA (VCAR_LNC002985)". The record is from RNAcentral. Lineage: Eukaryota; Viridiplantae; Chlorophyta; Chlorophyceae; Chlamydomonadales; Volvocaceae.
UUCUAUGAGUCACCACGGCCUGCUGGCCUGCAUAAAAAUUGUGUACAGUAGCUUCAUAAUAAAACUGUUCGCCCUACUUGAUCGGCGUAGGCGUGACUCUUGCAAAGGUAUUGUUUGUCUUUAGGUCGCUCCUGAUCACAUACUUUUUCCUUACUCCUAGCUGUACCUAGGAGUUUUGAUCAUGCCGACUCCAGCUGAUCAGUCGAAUUGCGCUGGGGGCUCAAGGACUACAGUCAUACAGAGCACGUACGUACAUUGUCAUACCCUGUCAACGUUACCACGUCCUCGCGCACACCACCACCACCCACCACUCAAAAAGGCGUCGCUGCGCAACGUGCAGGUGUUGUCGAGGCUAGGAUGGGGCGCAGCGGCUUUGGUGAGUGGGUAAGGAGGCGAACCAUGCGCGGUGGUGGAGCACGUGCAACGGCAUUGUGGAGGUCAGUGCAAUCCCUCCGCGGUACAACACUAUCCGCGGAACCAACACUAUCCAGCAGAGUUGAGGCAGGGAAGUUGCACCUGCGGGGGAAGCAGGGUAAGCUCCGGGACCGAAACCCUCGUAGGCGAGGGUGGUGUUGCAGGAGGGUAGUGUUGUGAGUAGUGCACAUGACGGAGUGGUGAUCUGAUGAGGUGAGGUGAGGUGCUGCCACGCGGCGAGCUAUAGCCACCGGGCCCACCGGAGAUGCCACCGCCCCGACGGCGUGCCCUGCCCGCCUGCCGGGUAUGGGCCCCCCCGGGGUGAACUAACCCCCUGUUGCGGGUCGACAGACCAGCCCCUCAAUUAGAGCGGGGCCGGUCCGGCCAGGGACCAGUUAGUGAGGCCGGUCACGGCCAGGGACCGUUGCGUGGCCUCAGGGUGUGUCGAGUAGUGGCCUCAGUGUCGUGGUGAGGUAGCCACGGUGGCUUGUAGGGUUCUGUUCCAGGGCUCAAGGCGCCGAUAAGGCUGCACCUCAUCACGGGGAGGGGCGCCCCUCAAGGUGAUGCACCCGGGACCCACCCGGGGUGGGCAAACAGCCGCAUUUGCAAAUGGUGCGAAGGCUGCCUGAGGGGGAAUUGUGCCGCAGCACGUGCGGUGAGGUUGGUUGUGAGCCCGGGCCUUCGUAGCCACCGUGCACUCUUUCAUUAUCGAUUACAUGAGGUAGAGAUUCAGGGUCGCGCGCCCCCGGUCGAGCAGGAGGGGACUGUGGGCACCCCUCACGCCCCUCUCCUCCCUCCGCUAGGGGGAGAGUGCUUCGGCGGUCGUUGCCGUUGGGGUAUACGGUUAGGUGUUGGUGCACAACAGAAACAUAUACACACACAUACACGCAUCACACACAAAUACACAUACACACACAUACACACACAGGGUUUCCGGGUUUCCUCUGUCUUAGUGAACCGUGUUUGUGUGUCUGUGUUUGUCGCGAGAAACCGACCAGUGCCGCCGCAGAGACCAGAUCAGAAAGGCCAACCCAUGGUGCAUGGGGCGGAUACAGGGUACCGUGGGUGGGGCGCAGACGAGAUGUGCGCAUACAUACAUACAUACAUACAUACAUACAUACAUACAUAAUUAGUACAUACAUGCGUACAUACGUACAUACGUACAUACAUUCACACGUCCAUGUGCCCAUCCGUGCAUUUAUCCCGCCCUGUCCACCCAUCUGUUCACACAUAUAGCCAUCCGUUCCCGCUAUCCGCCCGUCCACAGUCCCUUUCCGGCGCGCCACUCCGCCUGCCAGCUGCGCUCUACACAGCCACACGGGAAACUCGGCAACAUCUGCUGCUGCUGCUGCGGUGGCCCCAAAUGCAUAAAAAAGAAUUUUGUCCUAACUUGGCUACUUCGCAACGCGGUAGAUAGUAAGUCUACAUCCCCCUGGCCAGACCACCUACGUAUCAAACUGGCUAUGUUAAACACAUGACGUCGGAAGUAGCAAUAGCAACAUGUGCCACUGUCACAUCGACUCGGCCCGCACCGGCCCGCUGCUGUUUGACUGUGUGCCGAGAAAUCUGUUCGGCGGCCCGUUGCAGUCCAGGAGGCGGAAUCGUUCGAGAGAUUGUCGAGAGAAGUCCAACAGCCCAACAUCGGCCAAACGACACAUGACUGACCUCCAUUGAGGGCCUUACGCGGGCCCCUUGAGCGGACCCUUGCUGCAUCCCAAUACUCAGAGGACGAGGGACACAGGGACACAGAUCAAGUUCAUGAACAACACGAGCGACGCCCAAUCGUGCACAUCGUCACUUGAUCAUCAGCCACUGGCCGUUGAUUGGCUCAGCCGUCCAAGCGCGCCUCAUGGACAUGCAAUGUGACAGACUCGUAUAGCAAAACGGUCGGCGCGUUGAAGGGGAAAUAACGCAGAAAAGGAAUUAGCCAGUGCUAGGGAGGAAAAUCCCACAGAGAUACACGACACCACGUCAUCCCCACCUCCAAAACAUGCACACACGUACAUAUAUAGGUAUAGCCAAGUACAAUGAAAGAGGUCACAGAAAAGAGAGGCAACGACAUCAAAACCCACUUCUGCGGUACGCUACACACCAAUACACACCAAUUCAACGGGUUGCAUGCCCAAGCGGCCAGUUGCUAAUAUCUUUGUUUUAUCAUGAAAUUAAUGUGCUUGGACACACAUGCGCGCAGACGGGGGAAACUGCGACCGGGGCAAGAGCGCUAAGAAAGCGCGUUGCCGCUGUCGCGUUCCGUUAUUACUCUCCGUUGCUGUUUUCCGUUGCCGUUUUCCGUUGCCGUUAGCGUCUUUGCGAUAUUCACGAGAUCUGCAGCGGCAAACCCGCCGCAACUUGUCUGCAAACAACGUUCACAUGGCCCUUUCGACGCCGCAUAUGGAUGAAAGGAAACCCACGAUGUGCGCAACCUGCUUACCUGCUAGCUUGUCAACGACGAAUAGCUCGCUCGCGCAGGUGUACCUUCUCCG